AGCGUGUUCCCCCAAUCGGCGUGCGCCCUCAGGGCGCCUUGGGACGCGCAGUUUGGACAGAAGCAGCCAUGAUGUGCCAGGCGGCCUGUGCGACCAGUCUCCAUGGUGCUGGGGUGAGGGUGAAGGGAGGACCCGAGUCUUUUCCGGCGUCCGGCUGUCAGGGGUGGCGGAGGCAGGAAGAUUCCCCAGCUAAAUAGACUCUGGGAGACAGCCCCCAGACCCCCUUCUUCCCCCUCUCCACUGCCUUCUGGGGAAUCUCUGAGGGGCCGGUAGAGCAGUCGCGACAGGCUGUAAGAGGCGGGCUGCGGCUGGCGCCGGUCCCGGCGACGGCCACAGCGUGGCAGCAGCGAGCCCCCGACUCGGUCGCAAUAAAUAAUCUGCCCGCGGCAGCCGCAGUCAGGCAGCCGGACGCCCCACCAUGCAAAUUCGCCGCUUUAUCUGCCCCAAGCGCACCCACCGCGCGGGCGAACGUCCCAAACAUCUACACUCCUUUUUAAAUUAUCCAGUGCAUACCAAGGUUUCUUCUCAAAACGGAGAAACGACAACAGCAAAGAAAAAAACAAAUAAAAAGAAUUAAAGCCUAGAAUCUCGGGAUUGAUUCUUGUCGUUGUCCCGGGAGCUCCCCGGGGCAAAUCUGGGCUGAAGCGCACCAACUGAGCCGCAGUUCGUAUCAUCGCGCUAGGCAAAGCCACCGCUAGCAGACCCUCAGUACCUCCACCCGACUAGGUCCGCAGUACUCUCCCUGCUUGUGGGAGGUGGGGCUAGUGGACGCCAGACCCUUGUGCCGAGAAUUCCACCCAUCCACCUAUUCCCGCUCUCAGAGCUUCAGACACCUCUCAUCGGAAAACCGGGGAAAGGAUGCAAGCAAUCUGCGGAGAACUCUGGCUGAACUAAUGGCGGCUGCCAGAAGCUCCUGCCCCUCUGACAGCUGUCGCUUGGGCAGCCCGGGAGACGAAUUGUCCUCCUUCCUGGUGCCAGAGGACGCAGGAAAUUAGCCAGGUUGCGAGUUGCAAAACGGCCGCUGCGGCGCCAGGACCUGGGCGCGCCCCACCUCCAGCGCGAGCAGCCCGGCCAGGCCUGGCUGGGGCUUCCCUUUGCUCGCCAUCGCGGGACAAAGC
Molecule: long non-coding RNA, 1118 nt
Organism: Ictidomys tridecemlineatus (thirteen-lined ground squirrel)
Lineage: Eukaryota; Metazoa; Chordata; Mammalia; Rodentia; Sciuridae
Source: RefSeq, a predicted model, not a curated record